RNAcentral lists this ribosomal RNA (309 nucleotides) under uncultured bacterium. Its description in RNAcentral is "bacterial SSU rRNA". It matches the Rfam family "Bacterial small subunit ribosomal RNA", at positions 28 to 334 of the family's 1533-position model. The record is from RNAcentral.
GAUGAACGCUGGCGGCGUGCUUAACACAUGCAAGUCGAACGAAGAAGUUUUAGUUUACUAGAACAACUGAGUGGCGGACGGGUGAGUAACGCGUGGGUAACCUGCCCUAUGGAGGGGGACAACAGUGGGAAACCGCUGCUAAUACCGCAUACCUUAUUAAGAUUGCAUGGUCAUAAUAAGAAAGAGUUAUCGCCAUAGGAUGGGCCCGCGUCUGAUUAGCCAGUUGGUAGGGUAACGGCCUACCAAAGCAACGAUCAGUAGCCGGCCUGAGAGGGUGAACGGCCACAUUGGGACUGAGACACGGCCCAG